Molecule: ribosomal RNA, 449 nt
Filed under: uncultured soil bacterium
Lineage: Bacteria
Description: bacterial SSU rRNA
Rfam family: Bacterial small subunit ribosomal RNA
Source: RNAcentral
AGAACGAACGCUGGCGGCAGGCCUAACACAUGCAAGUCGAACGCUCGUAGCAAUACGGGAGUGGCGCACGGGUGAGUAACGCGUGGGCACCUGCCCGGUGGUUUGGGAUAACCGUGGGAAACUGCGGCUAAUACCGGAUACGCCCCUAGGGGGAAAGAUUUAUCGCCAUCGGAUGGGCCCGCGUAGGAUUAGCUAGUUGGUGAGGUAACGGCUCACCAAGGCUACGAUCCUUAGCUGGUCUGAGAGGAUGAUCAGCCACACUGGGACUGAGACACGGCCCAGACUCCUACGGGAGGCAGCAGUGGGGAAUAUUGGACAAUGGGGGCAACCCUGAUCCAGCCAUGCCGCGUGAGUGAAGAAGGCCUUCGGGUUGUAAAGCUCUUUUGGCGGGACGAUGAUGGACGGUACCGCAGAAUAAGCCCCGGACUAACUUCGUCGCCAGCAGCCGC